Molecule: ribosomal RNA, 344 nt
Filed under: Trimerodytes yunnanensis (Yunnan water snake)
Lineage: Eukaryota; Metazoa; Chordata; Lepidosauria; Squamata; Natricidae
Description: partial 12S ribosomal RNA
Source: RNAcentral
GAUACCCCACUAUUAACCCAACCCUCUCUAGCCAACCAGUCUAUAUACCGCCAUCGCCAACUUACCUUGUAAGAGAAACGGAGUAAGCGCAACAGCCACCACUAACACGAUAGGUCGAGGUGUAACAAAUGAGGGGGGAAAAGAUGGGCUACAUUUUCUAACACAGAAAACACGAACAGACUAUGAAAAUAGAAACCGAAGGCGGAUUUAGCAGUACAUUAAGAACAAAAUGCUUAACCGAAACAAACGCAAUGAAGUGCGUACACACCGCCCGUCAUCCCUGCAAAGAACUAAACCACUAUUUAUAAAAACAUAAAACACCUUAAACAGGGCAAGUCAUAACA